UACGAAGGGGGCUAGCGUUGCUCGGAAUCACUGGGCGUAAAGGGUGCGUAGGCGGGGCUUUAAGUCAGGGGUGAAAUCCUGGAGCUCAACUCCAGAACUGCCUUUGAUACUGAGGAUCUUGAGUUCGGGAGAGGUGAGUGGAACUGCGAGUGUAGAGGUGAAAUUCGUAGAUAUUCGCAAGAACACCAGUGGCGAAGGCGGCUCACUGGCCCGGUACUGACGCUGAGGCGCGAAAGCUAGGGGAGCGAACGGG
RNAcentral lists this ribosomal RNA (253 nucleotides) under uncultured bacterium. Its description in RNAcentral is "partial 16S ribosomal RNA". It matches the Rfam family "Bacterial small subunit ribosomal RNA", at positions 524 to 776 of the family's 1533-position model. The record is from RNAcentral.